CAACGCGUUGGGAGCUCUCCCAUAUGGUCGACCUGCAGGCGGCCGCGAAUUCACUAGUGAUUCUAUUACCGCGGCUGCUGGCACGUAGUUAGCCGGUGCUUAUUCUUCGGGUACCGUCAUCCCGCCAGGUUAUUCGCCCGGCGUAUUUCUUCCCCGACAAAAGCGGUUUACAACCCGAAGGCCUUCUUCCCGCACGCGGCAUGGCUGGAUCAGGCUUGCGCCCAUUGUCCAAAAUUCCCCACUGCUGCCUCCCGUAGGAGUCUGGGCCGUGUCUCAGUCCCAGUGUGGCUGGUCGUCCUCUCAGACCCGCUAUGGAUCGUCGCCUUGGUGGGCUGUUACCCCGCCAACUAGCUAAUCCAACGCAGGCUCAUCCCCAACCGCCUGAACUUUGGACGGUCGACCAUGCGGUCAUCCGUCGUUAUGGGGUAUUAGCCCACCUUUCGGUGGGUUAUUCCUCAGUUGGGGGCAGAUUGCCUACGCGUUACUCACCCGUGCGCCACUUUCCCCCAGAGCAAGCUCCGGGUUCUCGUUCGACUUGCAUGUGUUAAGCCCGCCGCCAGCGUUCGUCCUGAGCCAUGAUCAAACUCUAAUCGAAUUCCCGCGGCCGCC
This 609-nucleotide ribosomal RNA is filed under the name uncultured beta proteobacterium. RNAcentral describes it as "partial 16S ribosomal RNA". Lineage: Bacteria; Pseudomonadati; Pseudomonadota; Betaproteobacteria. The record is from RNAcentral.